UGAUACCAUUCGGAGGCAAAUAGAUCUGGGCACGCAGUAUGCGUUAAACUGCGCACAUCAGAGUUAAAACAUAAUUUGAUCCAAUACUUGAAUGUAUCAGCCAUGCUCUUGUUUCUGGUAGGUUCUGACCAUUUUCUAAGCAUAGGACAG
Molecule: long non-coding RNA, 150 nt
Organism: Sphaerodactylus townsendi
Lineage: Eukaryota; Metazoa; Chordata; Lepidosauria; Squamata; Sphaerodactylidae
Exons: 3
Source: RefSeq, a predicted model, not a curated record